UCAGACAUGGAAGCAGCGCUACUGGGAGGCUUGAACAUCCACUGUCUCUCCAGUCUCUGGACUAGCUCCUCCGUGCCCCCAAGGCUGAUGUGUCAGAGAUGAGAUGUGAGACCUCAGCCCCUCCCGCCCCUGCUGCCUGGCUGCCACUUUGCAUGCAGCUUUGGUCUGAACCCCACCUGCUGCUCCAGACCACAGCUGGGCCCAGCCCACGUCCUCCUUCUUCCUUGGGACUGCAAAGACGUCCUGCCCCUCUUCCACACUGCCACACUCUGCAUGUUACAGGGACUGGAGAGACUCCCUGCCCCUCUUCCACACUGCCACACUCUGCGUUAGAGGCUGCUGCCAUUUGGAACGGCUGAUGAUGAAGGGAUCUCACCCCAGGAUUUUCUCACAUCAGGGAUGCAGC
This 406-nucleotide long non-coding RNA is filed under the name Homo sapiens (human). RNAcentral's name for it is "HSALNT0183852". Lineage: Eukaryota; Metazoa; Chordata; Mammalia; Primates; Hominidae. The record is from RNAcentral.